UAGCAAACAGAGGAAAAGUGCCAUGGAACAAAGGCAGAAAACAUAGUCCAGAGACUCGUGAGAAGAUCAGACAGAGAACCAAAGAAGCUUUGCGUGAUCCCAAGGUGAAGUCAUGUAAGACAAAAGAUGUCUGAAUGUCCACGCUCUCUUAGCAAUCAGACCAAGUUACGAAUACGCGCAUCUCUCAGAAAACUCUGGGGUGAACGAUUAAAAUGGAAAAG
RNAcentral lists this unclassified non-coding RNA (221 nucleotides) under Hevea brasiliensis (rubber tree). Lineage: Eukaryota; Viridiplantae; Streptophyta; Magnoliopsida; Malpighiales; Euphorbiaceae. The record is from RNAcentral.